AGCAAUCAAAGAGUUUUUUCACUCCACAUUUGAGUUUAUACGUGUUCUUGCCUCCAAGCUUCCAAACUUCCAAAGUGCUCAAGUGUUCUAGCUUUCCAAAGCUUCAAAAGCUCUUCAACUUCUUUUUCUAAUCUUCUUGUUCAUCUUUACAAGUAUAAAGUAUUGUUUGCUUAAUAUUUCACUCCUCUAAUCCCCUCUUGUGUGUGUCCACUUUGAUUGAGACGUUUGUCUCACCUUUAGGCUAGUAAAUUUCGAUAGUUAGUCAGGACUGGAUUAGCCCUUGUUUGGGUGAACCAGUAUAAAUUCUCUUAUGUUUUUCUUUGUUAACUUUAGUUUUUAUCUUUCAUAUAAAAUCAACUAAACAACACUUAAUUGAAAAGGAUCCCUCUUCCAGUUAUCUGGUCAAAUACAGAGGUUGACUACUUUAUGCAGGUCCCUUAUCCAGUUAUCUGGUUAACUAUCUGAGGUUAUAUUAAUUGCCUUAAAUUCUUUCAAGCUUUUAUUUAUCAAAUAUAUAUAUCCAGUUAUCUGGUCAUUUACUCUAUAACUUGUUUAUCAAAUAUAUAUCCAGUUAUCUGGUCAUUUACUUUAUAAUAUAACUUGUGUUUAUAAUAUAUUUAGUAUUCAUAUACUACAGUUAUUUAUAAAACACUAUCUAAUAAGUUGACU
Molecule: long non-coding RNA, 669 nt
Filed under: Zostera marina
Lineage: Eukaryota; Viridiplantae; Streptophyta; Magnoliopsida; Alismatales; Zosteraceae
Description: long non-coding RNA (ZMAR_LNC003767)
Source: RNAcentral